AGCGGCUUAGGUUAGCAGAUUUAGACCAAGGGCCUUCAAAGCCCUAAGCGGGAGUCAAAACCUCCCAGCCUCUG
This 74-nucleotide transfer RNA is filed under the name Bertella idiomorpha. Its description in RNAcentral is "tRNA-Trp". It matches the Rfam family "tRNA". Rfam says of the family: Transfer RNA (tRNA) molecules are approximately 80 nucleotides in length. The record is from RNAcentral. Lineage: Eukaryota; Metazoa; Chordata; Actinopteri; Lophiiformes; Oneirodidae.